AUGGCCUGGACCCCUCUCUGGCUCACUCUCCUCACUCUUUGCAUAGGUUCUGUGGUUUCUUCUGAGCUGACUCAGGACCCUGCUGUGUCUGUGGCCUUGGGACAGACAGUCAGGAUCACAUGCCAAGGAGACAGCCUCAGAAGCUAUUAUGCAAGCUGGUACCAGCAGAAGCCAGGACAGGCCCCUGUACUUGUCAUCUAUGGUAAAAACAACCGGCCCUCAGGGAUCCCAGACCGAUUCUCUGGCUCCAGCUCAGGAAACACAGCUUCCUUGACCAUCACUGGGGCUCAGGCGGAAGAUGAGGCUGACUAUUACUGUAACUCCCGGGACAGCAGUGGUAACCAUCU
Homo sapiens (human) is the source of this 347-nucleotide non-coding RNA. The record is from the annotation of a RefSeq genome assembly. Lineage: Eukaryota; Metazoa; Chordata; Mammalia; Primates; Hominidae.